Lontra canadensis (Northern American river otter) is the source of this 401-nucleotide long non-coding RNA. RefSeq lists it as uncharacterized. The record is from RefSeq and is a predicted model, not a curated record. NCBI's taxonomy places the organism in Eukaryota, Metazoa, Chordata, Mammalia, Carnivora, Mustelidae. The transcript is spliced from 3 exons.
UCUGACUAUAGCUGUUAAAUCUUUCUAAUCUAGGGUGUCAUUCAAAGCCAUUGUUUCUUUGUCGAUUUUCUCUUUAGACGAUCUGUUCAUUGAGGAAACCAGUGAACAAACUACCAUGCCUUCUUACUCCUGUGAACCUUUAGAAGAUUUGAAACUCCUCUUCAAACGACUAUGAAGUGUCUCCCUGCCUGGUCUCCCUGGGGAGACUCUUCCAACUGCCGUUACUUCAAGCUGACCGAUGAUCUUUUCUACUUGAGGAGAUUUGCAUGGGUUUGUCUACCUUGGAUUCGGCUGCCUCUGCCUUUGGUAACUCCUCUGUAUAAAUUCCCCAACUGACCGAUGUUGACUUGUAGGUAGGGACAUCGCUGUUCCCCUCUUCAGCAGAAAGAAGUUACAGAAGA